UGCCUCAGGGAAAAAUACCCAAAUCAGGACC
Molecule: non-coding RNA, 31 nt
Filed under: Mus musculus (house mouse)
Lineage: Eukaryota; Metazoa; Chordata; Mammalia; Rodentia; Muridae
Source: RNAcentral